UACAGAGGGGGCAAGCGUUGUUCGGAAUUACUGGGCGUAAAGGGCGCGUAGGCGGCCCGCUAAGUCGAACGUGAAAUCCCCGGGCUCAACCCGGGAACUGCGUCCGAUACUGGCAGGCUUGAAUCCGGGAGAGGGAUGUGGAAUUCCAGGUGUAGCGGUGAAAUGCGUAGAUAUCUGGAGGAACACCGGUGGCGAAGGCGGCACCCUGGCCCGGCAUUGACGCUGAGGCGCGAAAGCCAGGGGAGCAAACGGG
Molecule: ribosomal RNA, 253 nt
Filed under: uncultured bacterium
Lineage: Bacteria
Description: partial 16S ribosomal RNA
Rfam family: Bacterial small subunit ribosomal RNA
Source: RNAcentral